Molecule: ribosomal RNA, 303 nt
Filed under: Triticum aestivum (bread wheat)
Lineage: Eukaryota; Viridiplantae; Streptophyta; Magnoliopsida; Poales; Poaceae
Description: partial small subunit ribosomal RNA
Source: RNAcentral
CCGAGACUGCCGGCGACCCCUAGUUCGACUACGGUGUUGACGACCCUUCCUUCUUGCCAGAGCAACCAGAUGCUGGAGCCCAGGAGCCAUAUGCCACUGUCGACGACGACUCCUACUACACCGGAGGUGCCUACUACUACGUGGAGGUCGCUGACGACGACCAGGAGUAGUUUAGGAGGAUCCCAGGCAGGAGGCCUGCGCCUCUUUCGAUCUGUAUCCCAGUUUGUGCUAGCCUUCUUAAGGCAAACUUGUUUAACUUAUGUCUGUACUCAGAUAUUGUUGCUUUCGUUGACUCGUCUAUGA